UUUCGCUACCCACUGAGUCUCAGCCCAGAUGACCGCAGGGGCAUUCAACACCUAUAUGGCCAGCCCUGGCCCACUGUCACCUCCAGGACCCCAGCCCUGGGCCCCCAGGCUGGGAUAGACACCAAUGAGAUUGCACCGCUGGAGCCGGACGCCCCACCAGAUGCCUGUGAGGCCUCGUUUGACGCGGUCUCCACCAUCCGAGGCGAGCUCUUUUUCUUCAAAGCGGGCUUUGUGUGGCGCCUGCGUGGGGGCCAGCUGCAGCCCGGCUACCCAGCAUUGGCCUCUCGCCACUGGCAGGGACUGCCUAGCCCUGUGGACGCUGCCUUCGAGGAUGCCCAGGGCCACAUUUGGUUCUUCCAAGGUGAGUGGGGGUUGGGGAUCUGCUCAAGAGACUUCCCAGAGCCAGGAAUGUUAUGGCCAAGGGGAGGAACAGACAGACGGAUCCUCAGGGACACAGUGGAUAGGGAGAGUUGCCCCAAAGCCUGGGGGCCAAGGGAGACAGAGUGUGGUUUGCUCCUCAGGCACAGGUAGGAGGCUCCCGGAGGUGGCUCUUGAGAUAGGAGCAGCGUGGAAGGGAUUGCACGGUGGGGCCACGUGUUGGUGCGUUCAACCCUCAGCCACCCCAUGGGGCGGGGUUCUAGAGAUGAGGCCUCUGGGGCUCCGAGGCAGUGAAGUGACUCACUGAGAGUGCAGCUGGGAAGAG
RNAcentral lists this small RNA (703 nucleotides) under Pongo abelii (Sumatran orangutan). Its description in RNAcentral is "retained intron". Lineage: Eukaryota; Metazoa; Chordata; Mammalia; Primates; Hominidae. The record is from RNAcentral.